UGCCGCGUGAGUGAAGAAGGCCUUCGGGUUGUAAAGCUCUUUCAGCCGGGAAGAAAAUGCAUGGAUUAAUACCCUGUGCAGAUGACGGUACCGGAAUAAGAAGCACCGGCUAACUACGUGCCAGCAGCCGCGGUAAUACGUAGGGUGCGAGCGUUAAUCGGAAUUACUGGGCGUAAAGCGUGCGCAGGCGGUUGGUUAAGAUAGGCGUGAAAUCCCCGGGCUCAACCUGGGAACUGCGCUUAUGACUGGUCAGCUAGAGUACGGCAGAGGGGGGUGGAAUUCCACGUGUAGCAGUGAAAUGCGUAGAGAUGUGGAGGAACACCAAUGGCGAAGGCAGCCCCCUGGGUCGAUACUGACGCUCAUGCACGAAAGCGUGGGUAGCAAACAGGAUUAGAUACCCUGGUAGUCCACGCCCUAAACGAUGUCAACUAGGUGUUGGGAGGGUAAAACCUUUUAGUACCGUAGCUAACGCGAGAAGUUGACCGCCUGGGGAGUACGGCCGCAAGGUUAAAACUCAAAGGAAUUGACGGGGACCCGCACAAGCGGUGGAUGAUGUGGAUUAAUUCGAUGCAACGCGAAAAACCUUACCUACCCUUGACAUGUCAG
RNAcentral lists this ribosomal RNA (606 nucleotides) under uncultured bacterium. Its description in RNAcentral is "bacterial SSU rRNA". It matches the Rfam family "Bacterial small subunit ribosomal RNA", at positions 395 to 992 of the family's 1533-position model. The record is from RNAcentral.